AGUUUGAUCAUGGCUCAGGAUGAACGCUAGCUGGAGGCUUAAUACAUGCAAGUCGAGCGGGAUUGACCCAGCAAUGGGUCAUGAGAGCGGCGAACGGGUGAGUAACGCGUACACGACCUACCUCUAACUGGGGGAUAGCCCUGGGAAACUGGGAUUAAUACCGCAUAUAAUUCUGAUUUUAAAAGUUCAGAAUGAAAGUUCAGGCGGUUAGAGAUGGGUGUGCGUCUGAUUAGCUUGUUGGUAAGGUAACGGCUUACCAAGGCGAUGAUCAGUAGGGGGCGUGAGAGCGUGGUCCCCCACACGGGUACUGAGACACGGACCCGACUCCUACGGGAGGCAGCAGUAAGGAAUAUUGGACAAUGGCCGCAAGGCUGAUCCAGCCAUCCAGCGUGCAGGAAGAAGGCCCUAUGGGUUGUAAACUGCUUUUGCCAGGGAAGAAACCUUUGGAUUUACACCGAAGCUGACGGUACCUGAAGAAUAAGCACCGGCUAACUACGUGCCAGCAGCCGCGGUAAUACGUAGGGUGCGAGCGUUAAUCGGAAUUACUGGGCGUAAAGCGUGCGUAGGCGGUUCGUUAUGUCUGCUGUGAAAGCCCCGGGCUCAACCUGGGAAUGGCAGUGGAAACUGGCGAGCUGGA
RNAcentral lists this ribosomal RNA (637 nucleotides) under uncultured bacterium. Its description in RNAcentral is "bacterial SSU rRNA". It matches the Rfam family "Bacterial small subunit ribosomal RNA", at positions 10 to 645 of the family's 1533-position model. The record is from RNAcentral.